RNAcentral lists this ribosomal RNA (119 nucleotides) under Helianthus annuus (common sunflower). The record is from RNAcentral. Lineage: Eukaryota; Viridiplantae; Streptophyta; Magnoliopsida; Asterales; Asteraceae.
GGUUGCGAUGAUAACAGCACUAAUGCACCGGAUCCCAUCAGAACUCCGCAGUUAAGAGUGCUUUGGCGAGAGUAGUACUAGGAUGGGUGACCCCCUGGGAAGUCCUCGUGUUGCAACCC